GUAGUAGUAGUGGUAGUAGUAGUAGUAGUAGUAGUAGUAGUGGUAGUAGUAGUAGUAGUGGUAGUAGUAGUAGUAGUAGUAGUAGUAGUAGUAGUAGUAGUAGUAGUAGUGGUAGUAGUAGUAGUAGUAGUAGUGGUAGUAGUAGUAGUAGUAGUAGUAGUAGUAGUAGUAGUAGUAGUAGUAGUGGCAGUAGUAGUAGUAGUAGUAGUAGUAGUAGUAGUAGUAGUAGUAGUAGUAGUAGUAGUAGUAGUAGUAGUAGUAGUAGUGGUAGUAGUGGUAGUAGUAGUAGUGGUAGUGGUAGUAGUAGUAGUAGUAGUAGUAGUAGUAGUAGUGGUAGUAGUAGUAGUAGUAGUAGUGGUAGUAGUAGUAGUAGUAGUAGUAGUAGUAGUAGUAGUAGUAGUGGUAGUAGUAGUGGUAGUGGUAGUAGUAGUAGUAGUAGUAGUAGUAGUAGUAGUAGUAGUAGUAGUGGUAGUAGUAGUAGUAGUGGUAGUAGUAGUAGUAGUAGUAGUGGUAGUAGUAGUAGUAGUGGUAGUAGUGGUAGUAGUGGUAGUAGUAGCAGUGGUAGUAGUAGUAGUAGUGGUAG
Long non-coding RNA from Oncorhynchus tshawytscha (Chinook salmon), 583 nucleotides. The record is from Ensembl. NCBI's taxonomy places the organism in Eukaryota, Metazoa, Chordata, Actinopteri, Salmoniformes, Salmonidae.